UGAGGAAUAUUGGUCAAUGGGCGGGAGCCUGAACCAGCCAAGCCGCGUGAGGGAGGAAGGCCCUAUGGGUCGUAAACCUCUUUUGUCAGGGAACAAAAGCGAGUAUGUAUACUAGUCUGAGUGUACCUGAAGAAAAAGCAUCGGCUAACUCCGUGCCAGCAGCCGCGGUAAUACGGAGGAUGCGAGCGUUAUCCGGAUUUAUUGGGUUUAAAGGGUGCGUAGGCGGCGGUGCAAGUCGGCGGUAAAAGCCCGGGGCUCAACCCCGGCGAGCCGUUGAAACUGCAGUGCUAGAGAAGGCGAGAGGUACGCGGAAUGCGCAGUGUAGCGGUGAAAUGCUUAGAUAUUGCGCAGAACUCCGAUUGCGAAGGCAGCGUACUGGCGCCUGACUGACGCUGAGGCACGAAAGCGUGGGGAUCGAACAGGAUUAGAUACCC
This 434-nucleotide ribosomal RNA is filed under the name uncultured bacterium. Its description in RNAcentral is "bacterial SSU rRNA". It matches the Rfam family "Bacterial small subunit ribosomal RNA", at positions 355 to 787 of the family's 1533-position model. The record is from RNAcentral.